CUUCCGGCGGUGGCGGGCCUCGGUAACCGCCCUCCCCCGGGUCCUCGCGGACCGCACGGAUCCGGCUGACGGCGAGGGUCAUGGGACGGAGCCGCUUGUAUUUAAAAUGUUCUUUUUUUAUUUGUCGUUUAAAAACAAACUUGGAAGAAGCAAAAUCCAAAACUUGCCCUUUGCCUCUCGCAACAUAAAUAUGUACAGUUCAGAAUGAUCGCUGAUACAAAACAUGCCAAGGACAGGGGCGCUGAGGGUGGAGGGAGAGAGGGCGCUUUAAAAAAGGGAACCAUUUCAUCCGUUGUUACGAAGGACCAACCUUGCUGUACAGGAUACACACAACACAAAAUAAAGUCUUCACGGGAUUCACA
Homo sapiens (human) is the source of this 362-nucleotide long non-coding RNA. Ensembl annotates it as DDN and PRKAG1 antisense RNA 1. Its record names the gene DDN-AS1. Lineage: Eukaryota; Metazoa; Chordata; Mammalia; Primates; Hominidae. The record is from Ensembl.